This 329-nucleotide ribosomal RNA is filed under the name uncultured eukaryote. Its description in RNAcentral is "partial 18S ribosomal RNA". It matches the Rfam family "Eukaryotic small subunit ribosomal RNA", at positions 1470 to 1796 of the family's 1831-position model. The record is from RNAcentral.
CCCUUAGAUGUUCUGGGCCGCACGCGCGCUACAAUGAUGAAUUCAACGAGUUUAUAACCUUGGUUGAAAAGCCUGGGUAAUCUUUUGAACUUUCGUCGUGAUGGGGCUAGACCCUUGCAAUUAUUGGUCUCCAACGAGGAAUUCCUAGUAAACGCAAGUCAUCAGCUUGCAUUGAUUACGUCCCUGCCCUUUGUACACACCGCCCGUCGCACCUACCGAUUGAAUGGUCCGGUGAAAUCUUCGGAUUGAGACUUUGAUUUCUUCACGGAAAACGCUGUUUUAAGAAGUUCAUUAAACCCUCCCACCUAGAGGAAGGAGAAGUCGUAACA